Molecule: transfer RNA, 52 nt
Filed under: Metacrangonyx longicaudus
Lineage: Eukaryota; Metazoa; Arthropoda; Malacostraca; Amphipoda; Metacrangonyctidae
Description: transfer RNA Arginine
Source: RNAcentral
AAAAUAGAAUAAAUUUGACUUCGAAUCAAAUAAUGACUUAAGUCCUAUUUUA